GCUAUUUAAGUCCGACCAUCUCGUUGUUUUCCCAUACAUUCUUCACAUCAAUAUAUAUUCUUUCUUUAUUUCUUCAGUGCUACUUGAGUUGUUUCCUGUGUGUUGUCAUACCUUUUUCCGCUGCCAUGCAUAUUUCUUGUUUGGUUGGUGUCUUAUGUUUUGUUGUGUUCGAUAGGUGUACGUGAGAAAUGCGAUGGCGGGAUACUGGAGUAAUGUGAGUGUGCGACCCGGACAGUGAAGGGGACGGACCGUAGGUGUGGUAUGAGGCGACGUUGGCGUACCGGGUGCAGUCACAGGGGUGACGAUCGAGGAACCAGCCACCCGGACAUCAUCAUGGUUUCCUUCUACGUACGUACUCGACAUGGGGUCCGUCCACCCACACCAUACUGCCCAUGCCUACCUUCUACGGCAGCUUCGCCAAGCAUGAGCGGAUGUGUGCUAUGCUGCCAUAGCACCAACGAGGUUCCUACGACCACAUUUGAGGAUUUAAAUGAAGCACAUUCUGUAAGGCUCGGAAAUCAAUAGAAGAAUAGAGGGUGUGUUUAGUUCACGUCAAAAUUGAAAGUUUGGUUGAAAUUGGAACGAUGUGAUAGAAAAGUUGGAAGUUUAUGUGUGUAGAAAAGUUUUGAUAUGAUGGAAAAGUUGAAAGUUUGAAGAAAAAAAAUUAGAACUAAACAAGGCCAGAACAAGGUAGUAGGUGCGUGAGUCGGGUCACAUGCGAGGAGGAGCAGGGACGUGAAGCGUGAGUGGCAGGAAGAGAUGGCGCUGGUGUCGAGGUCUCCAACGGUAUUACUCGAACGAGCAGUUGGGGCCCUGGGAGCUGCGGGGUAAUUGCCGCGAAAAUAGUGCUUUUCCUUGUGUUAUUGCCGUGGGGUUAUUGGAUUUGGAUUUUGGAGUUAGUCUUUAGUAUUUUCAAAUUUCCUAAUUGUAUCUAAUUAUCUCUAUGGUUGGGAUUGUUUUCUCUGCAGAAGGACAAAAUAGUGUGCUAGCGUCAUAGUUGAGCACUAAACCUUAACUUCACACUGAUACUUUUUGCUCAAUUGUUGUAUGUCAUUUUAUACAAAUGUUUAGGAUAUAUAUAUAUUUGGCAUUUAGUAGAGAACUUUGCGAGUUAAGCGAAUUUUGCUAUUUGAUUUACACAUGUUAAUCCUUUCUGUCUUGAUGUGUGGAGCUACUGCACAAGAAAUAGCCUACA
This is a non-coding RNA of Oryza sativa Japonica Group (Japanese rice), 1195 nucleotides long. The record is from RefSeq and is a predicted model, not a curated record. Lineage: Eukaryota; Viridiplantae; Streptophyta; Magnoliopsida; Poales; Poaceae.